AUGAACGCUGGCGGCGUGCCUCAUCCAUGCAAGUCGAGCGAACGGACGAGAAGCUUGCUUCUCUGAUGUUAGCGGCGGACGGGUGAGUAACACGUGGAUAACCUACCUAUAAGACUGGGAUAACUUCGGGAAACCGGAGCUAAUACCGGAUAAUAUUUUGAACCGCAUGGUUCAAAAGUAAAAGACGGUCUUGCUGUCACUUAUAGAUGGAUCCGCGCUGCAUUAGCUAGUUGGUAAGGUAACGGCUUACCAAGGCAACGAUGCAUAGCCGACCUGAGAGGGUGAUCGGCCACACUGGAACUGAGACACGGUCCAGACUCCUACGGGAGGCAGCAGUAGGGAAUCUUCCGCAAUGGGCGAAAGCCUGACGGAGCAACGCCACGUGAGUGAUGAAGGUCUUCGGAUCGUAAAACUCUGUUAUUAGGGAAGAACAUAUGUGUAAGUAACUGUGCACAUCUUGACGGUACCUAAUCAGAAAGCCACGGCUAACUACGUG
RNAcentral lists this ribosomal RNA (496 nucleotides) under uncultured bacterium. RNAcentral's name for it is "partial 16S ribosomal RNA". It matches the Rfam family "Bacterial small subunit ribosomal RNA", at positions 29 to 507 of the family's 1533-position model. The record is from RNAcentral.